Molecule: transfer RNA, 73 nt
Filed under: Camelus bactrianus (Bactrian camel)
Lineage: Eukaryota; Metazoa; Chordata; Mammalia; Artiodactyla; Camelidae
Also listed under: 2 other names
Rfam family: tRNA
About the family: Transfer RNA (tRNA) molecules are approximately 80 nucleotides in length.
Source: Rfam by way of RNAcentral
GAGGGUGUAGCUCAAGUGGUAGAGCGCCUGCUCAGCAUGCAUGAGGUCCUGGGUUCAAGCCCCAGUUCCUCCA